AGUGAACGCUGGCGGCGUGCUUAACACAUGCAAGUCGAACGAGAACGGGUUAUAGCUUGCUAUAAUUGUCAGCUAAGUGGCGCACGGGUGAGUAAUGUAUAGGUAAUAUGCCUCUUACUAAGGGAUAACAAAUGGAAACGUUUGCUAAUACCUUAUACUCCUUAUUAACAGAAGUUAAUAGGGGAAAGAUUUAUUGGUAAGAGAUUAGCCUGUAUUGUAUCAGUUAGUUGGUGGGGUAAUGGCUUACCAAGACUAUGACACAUAACUGGUUUGAGAGGAUGAUCAGUCACACUGGAACUGAGACACGGUCCAGACUCCUACGGGAGGCAGCAGUGGGGAAUAUUGCACAAUGGACGAAAGCCUGAUGCAGCAACGCCGCGUGGAGGAUGACACAUUUCGGUGCGUAAACUCCUUUUAUAUGAGAAGAUAAUGACGGUAUUAUAUGAAUAAGCACCGGCUAACUCCGUGCCAGCCGCCGCCGUAA
This 484-nucleotide ribosomal RNA is filed under the name uncultured bacterium. RNAcentral describes it as "partial 16S ribosomal RNA". It matches the Rfam family "Bacterial small subunit ribosomal RNA", at positions 29 to 523 of the family's 1533-position model. The record is from RNAcentral.